Long non-coding RNA from Neomonachus schauinslandi (Hawaiian monk seal), 512 nucleotides. RefSeq lists it as uncharacterized. The transcript has 3 exons. NCBI's taxonomy places the organism in Eukaryota, Metazoa, Chordata, Mammalia, Carnivora, Phocidae. The record is from RefSeq and is a predicted model, not a curated record.
CUUACCUGUUGGAUUGAUCACACGCAACACCUGAGUUGGAAUUACACUGAGAAUUUUUGGCAUGGCUGGAGCUAACUGGUGAACAGUGUAUGCUCAAUGCCUUGGCACCUAAGAUAUGCAAAAACAUUUUUGCUAAAUACAGAAACAAAUAAAUGAAUAAAGAAGAAAACAAAGGAAGGAGGAAAUGAACAGAUGGCUUUUUCCACUUAACAUCUAAAGGGAUUCUGUGACCCUGAAGAAUUGUUUGCCCUGAAGAAUUCCCAUCAAGUAGACAAGUCGUGGAAAGAGGGAUGCUUCUGGCAUCACAGCUCUGAACUAUAAGCAGAAGGUAAAAGCCCUGACUCACAGCCUCAACCACCAAGUAACUGCAUGACUAACACAACAAACUAUCUGCCUGCUAUAUCAGGCCACAGGCAAAAAAAUUACAACCAGGCUGAAAGGGAUACAAAGAUCUUAGUAUUAUUUCCUUGAGAUCCAAAGAAUGCCACAAACAGCACCAACCCCUACUGUUU